AGAGUUUGAUCCUGGCUCAGGAUGAACGCUGGCGGCGUGCUUAACACAUGCAAGUCGAACGAACCUUCGGGUUAGUGGCGGACGGGUGAGUAACGCGUGAGAAUCUGCCCUCAGGAGGGGGAUAACGGUUGGAAACGACCGCUAAUACCCCAUAUGCCUAUUGGUGAAAUGAAUUUCGCCUGAGGAUGAGCUCGCGUCUGAUUAGCUAGUUGGUGAGGUAAUGGCUCACCAAGGCUUCGAUCAGUAGCUGGUCUGAGAGGAUGAUCAGCCACACUGGGACUGAGACACGGCCCAGACUCCUACGGGAGGCAGCAGUGGGGAAUUUUCCGCAAUGGGCGAAAGCCUGACGGAGCAACGCCGCGUGAGGGACGAAGGCCUCUGGGCUGUAAACCUCUUUUCUCAAGGAAGAAGAUAUGACGGUACUUGAGGAAUAAGCCACGGCUAAUUCCGUGCCAGCAGCCGCGGU
RNAcentral lists this ribosomal RNA (466 nucleotides) under uncultured bacterium. RNAcentral's name for it is "bacterial SSU rRNA". It matches the Rfam family "Bacterial small subunit ribosomal RNA", at positions 8 to 521 of the family's 1533-position model. The record is from RNAcentral.